This is a non-coding RNA of Schistosoma margrebowiei, 45 nucleotides long. Lineage: Eukaryota; Metazoa; Platyhelminthes; Trematoda; Strigeidida; Schistosomatidae. The record is from Rfam.
AUUCAGUUGACGAGUCUUAAAUAAGACGAAACGUGUGUCCCGAAU